Molecule: ribosomal RNA, 396 nt
Filed under: uncultured bacterium
Lineage: Bacteria
Description: partial 16S ribosomal RNA
Rfam family: Bacterial small subunit ribosomal RNA
Source: RNAcentral
AUACGUAGGUGGCGAGCGUUGUCCGGAAUUAUUGGGCGUAAAGAGCAUGUAGGCGGCCUAUUAAGUCGAGCGUGAAAAUGCGGGGCUCAACCCCGUAUGGCGCUGGAAACUGGAAGGCUUGAGUGCAGGAGAGGAAAGGGGAAUUCCCAGUGUAGCGGUGAAAUGCGUAGAUAUUGGGAGGAACACCAGUGGCGAAGGCGCCUUUCUGGACUGUGUCUGACGCUGAGAUGCGAAAGCCAGGGUAGCGAACGGGAUUAGAUACCCCGGUAGUCCUGGCCGUAAACGAUGGGUACUAGGUGUAGGAGGUAUCGACCCCUUCUGUGCCGGAGUUAACGCAAUAAGUACCCCGCCUGGGGAGUACGGCCGCAAGGUUGAAACUCAAAUGAAUUGACGGGG